This 253-nucleotide ribosomal RNA is filed under the name uncultured bacterium. RNAcentral describes it as "partial 16S ribosomal RNA". It matches the Rfam family "Bacterial small subunit ribosomal RNA", at positions 524 to 776 of the family's 1533-position model. The record is from RNAcentral.
UACGUAGGUGGCAAGCGUUGUCCGGAUUUAUUGGGCGUAAAGCGCGCGCAGGCGGUCUUUUAAGUCUGAUGUGAAAUCUCGGGGCUCAACCCCGAGCGGUCAUUGGAAACUGGGAGACUUGAGUGCAGAAGAGAAGAGCGGAAUUCCACGUGUAGCGGUGAAAUGCGUAGAGAUGUGGAGGAACACCAGUGGCGAAGGCGGCUCUUUGGUCUGUAACUGACGCUGAGGCGCGAAAGCGUGGGGAGCGAACAGG